GCAGUAGCCGCGGGAAUACGGGGGGUGCAAGCGUUAUUCGGAUUGAUUGGGUGUAAAGGGUGUGCAGACGGCUUAUUAAGUCACUUGUUAAAUUCCUCGGCCUAACUGAAGGUCUGCAAGUGAUACUGAUGAGCUAGAGGGUGGAAGAGAGAAGUGGAAUUCUCGGAGUAGCGGUAAAAUGCGUAGAUCUCGAGAGGAACACCAAUGGCGAAGGCAGCUUCUUGGUCCAUUCCUGACGUUCAUACACGAAAGCGUGGGGAGCAAACAGGAUUAGAUACCCGAGUAGUCCCUGUCUCUUAUAC
This 302-nucleotide ribosomal RNA is filed under the name uncultured bacterium. RNAcentral's name for it is "partial 16S ribosomal RNA". It matches the Rfam family "Bacterial small subunit ribosomal RNA", at positions 508 to 807 of the family's 1533-position model. The record is from RNAcentral.